CACGUAGGCACCAAGCGUUGUCCGGAUUUAUUGGGCGUAAAGAGCUCGUAGGCGGUUCGGUAAGUCGGAUGUGAAAACUUUGGGCUCAACCCAAAGCGUGCACUCGAUACUGCCGUGACUGGAGUUCGGUAGGGGAGCGGGGAAUUCCUAGUGUAGCGGUGAAAUGCGCAGAUAUUAGGAGGAACACCGGUGGCGAAGGCGCCGCUCUGGGCCGAUACUGACGCUGAGGAGCGAAAGCGUGGGGAGCAAACAGG
Molecule: ribosomal RNA, 254 nt
Filed under: uncultured bacterium
Lineage: Bacteria
Description: partial 16S ribosomal RNA
Rfam family: Bacterial small subunit ribosomal RNA
Source: RNAcentral